This 778-nucleotide ribosomal RNA is filed under the name Fontanospora eccentrica. RNAcentral's name for it is "eukaryotic LSU rRNA". It matches the Rfam family "Eukaryotic large subunit ribosomal RNA", at positions 71 to 871 of the family's 3401-position model. Lineage: Eukaryota; Fungi; Ascomycota; Leotiomycetes; Helotiales; Discinellaceae. The record is from RNAcentral.
GGGAUUACCUCAGUAACGGCGAGUGAAGCGGUAACAGCUCAAAUUUGAAAUCUGCCGCAAGGCCGAGUUGUAAUUUGUAGAAGAUGCUUUGGGUAUGGCCCCGGUCUAAGUUCGUUGGAACACGACGUCAUAGAGGGUGAGAAUCCCGUAUGUGACUGGGUGCUUUUGCCUAUGUAAAGCUCUUUCGACGAGUCGAGUUGUUUGGGAAUGCAGCUCAAAAUGGGUGGUAUAUUUCAUCUAAAGCUAAAUAUUGGCCAGAGACCGAUAGCGCACAAGUAGAGUGAUCGAAAGAUGAAAAGCACUUUGGAAAGAGAGUUAAACAGUACGUGAAAUUGUUGAAAGGGAAGCGCUUGCAACCAGACUUGCACGUUGUUGAUCAUCCAGGCUUCUGUUUGGUGCACUCAACUGCGUUCAGGCCAGCAUCGGUUUUGGUGGUGGGAUAAAGGCCUUGGGAAUGUAGCUUCUUUCGGGGAGUGUUAUAGCCCUCGGUGCAAUGCCGCCUACCGGGACCGAGGACCGCGCUUCGGCUAGGAUGCUGGCGUAAUGGUUGUAAGCGACCCGUCUUGAAACACGGACCAAGGAGUCUAACAUCUAUGCGAGUGUUUGGGUGUCAAACCCAUACGCGUAAUUAACGUGAACGGAGGUGAGAACCCUUAAGGGUGCAUCAUCCACCGAUCCUGAUGUCUUCGGAUGGAUUUGAGUAAGAGCAUAGCUGUUGGGACCCGAAAGAUGGUGAACUAUGCCUGAAUAGGGUGAAGCCAGAGGAAACUCUGGUGGA